Molecule: transfer RNA, 69 nt
Filed under: Dasyornis broadbenti (rufous bristle-bird)
Lineage: Eukaryota; Metazoa; Chordata; Aves; Passeriformes; Dasyornithidae
Description: tRNA-Asp
Source: RNAcentral
GGGGUGUUAGUAAAACCAUUACAUAUCCUUGUCAAGGCUAAAUCACAGAUGAGAACUCUGUACACCCCA